ACCGCUAGGGGUCGCUAAACUCUUCAAAACAAUAACAAAGGCAUAGAUUGAUGACGCAGUGAAUGAGCGUGGACUCAUGGAACGUGUCGUCAUUCCGAUGGAUCUAAUAAUGUUUAUGGAUGAGUGAAUGCAUUCAUGUUUUUAACAUGACUGUGGUAUAAAGCAGGGCGUGGCCGAGAUUCGCGAUUGCUACUGAGAGACAGAUAUCAGAGUCCCAGGGGAUAUAAAGGAAUGAGGAUAUUUCAUUCUACCGAACUACUCACAAAGCUGAAAUACUACUAAUACAGUUUGCUUGCCAUGGUCCAUAUUUUUGAACGAAACAACAACAGCAUGCUGCUAGAUGUUACACAGCUGUCCGUGUCUGUUGCCAUGGUUACUAUGCAGUACAAGCGGAAACCGUCAUUGACAGGCGACAAGUGACAAGGGAGGGACGGGCACUAUUUAAAAUUGUGAAUUUCCCUGAAUUCACAAAUUCUUGGAAACAUUUAGGAUAAUUCGCCUGCACUGUGCUAUAGUCUGCGAUCACUCCGCUUGACUUUGUCUAAUUUAACAAAAAUGUCAGCGGAACUUCUCUGCCUUGUCACUGGAAGUGACAUUCCUCUAUUCUGUGUCCCUGGGGUAAGAAACGCCGCCAUUGAAGAUUGAAGCAGACGGACGGUGGUUUUUAAAUUUCGGUUUCAGCCGUCCAUCAGAAGAUUAAAAUUCAUAGGCUCAGCAUCGGAGAAAGGAAGCACACGCACGAGGGACCAGUGCCUUCUUCCCCUCUGCCUAUAAAUGCAUUUGAAAUAUACCUGGCGUAGUCAAAAUGUGAUCAAUGUUUUUCUGUAGCUUUCUUCAUGUCUCCUCAGCAGAUGUCCCCUCAGGGAAGUAAAUGCAUGGUAUAACCAGCACUUCUACUUAUGAUGAGAAGUAUGAGAGUGAG
Megalobrama amblycephala (Wuchang bream) is the source of this 922-nucleotide long non-coding RNA. RefSeq lists it as uncharacterized. The transcript has 3 exons. The record is from RefSeq and is a predicted model, not a curated record. NCBI's taxonomy places the organism in Eukaryota, Metazoa, Chordata, Actinopteri, Cypriniformes, Xenocyprididae.